UACGGGGGGGGCAAGCGUUGUUCGGAAUUACUGGGCGUAAAGGGCGUGUAGGCGGCCAACUAAGUCCGACGUGAAAUCCCCAGGCUUAACCUGGGAACUGCGUCGGAUACUGGAUGGCUUGAAUUCGGGAGAGGGAUGCAGAAUUCCAGGUGUAGCGGUGAAAUGCGUAGAUAUCUGGAGGAAUACCGGUGGCGAAGGCGGCAUCCUGGACCGACAUUGACGCUGAAGCGCGAAAGCUAGGGGAGCAAACGGG
RNAcentral lists this ribosomal RNA (253 nucleotides) under uncultured bacterium. Its description in RNAcentral is "partial 16S ribosomal RNA". It matches the Rfam family "Bacterial small subunit ribosomal RNA", at positions 524 to 776 of the family's 1533-position model. The record is from RNAcentral.